RNAcentral lists this ribosomal RNA (433 nucleotides) under uncultured bacterium. RNAcentral describes it as "partial 16S ribosomal RNA". It matches the Rfam family "Bacterial small subunit ribosomal RNA", at positions 29 to 507 of the family's 1533-position model. The record is from RNAcentral.
AACGAACGCUGGCGGCAUGCCUAACACAUGCAAGUCGAACGGAACCGUCGGGCUUAGUGGCGCACGGGUGGGUGACGCGGGGGAACCUGCCCUUAGGUCCGGAAUAACUCCCCGUAAGGGGUCCUAAGACCGGAUAAUGUCUUCGGACCAAAGAGUUAUCGCUGUUGGAUGGGCGUGGGAUGGAUUAGCUGGUUGGUAGGGUAAAAGCCUACCACGGCGACGAUCGAUAGCUGGUAUGAGAGGAUGGUCAGCCACACUGGGACUGAGACGCGGCCCAGAAUCCUACGGGAGGGAGGAGUGGGGAAUAUAGGACAGUGGGCGAAGGCCUGAUCCAGCCAUGCCGGGUAAGUGAUGAAGGCCUUAGGGUUGUAAAGCUCUUUUACACGGGGUGAUAAUGACGGUACCGGGAGAAUAAGCACCGGCUAACUCCGUG